GUCUGACGGAGCACGCCGCGUGAGUGAUGAAGGUUUUCGGAUCGUAAAGCUCUGUUGUUAGGGAAGAACAAGUGCGAGAGUAACUGCUCGCACCUUGACGGUACCUAACCAGAAAGCCACGGCUAACUACGUGCCAGCAGCCGCGGUAAUACGUAGGUGGCAAGCGUUGUCCGGAAUUAUUGGGCGUAAAGGGCUCGCAGGCGGUUUCUUAAGUCUGAUGUGAAAGCCCCCGGCUCAACCGGGGAGGGUCAUUGGAAACUGGGAAACUUGAGUGCAGAAGAGGAGAGUGGAAUUCCACGUGUAGCGGUGAAAUGCGUAGAGAUGUGGAGGAACACCAGUGGCGAAGGCGACUCUCUGGUCUGUAACUGACGCUGAGGAGCGAAAGCGUGGGGAGCGAACAGGAUUAGAUACCCUGGUAGUCCACGCCGUAAACGAUGAGUGCUAAGUGUUAGGGGGUUUCCGCCCCUUAGUGCUGCAGCUAACGCAUUAAGCACUCCGCCUGGGGAGUACGGUCGCAAGACUGAAACUCAAAGGAAUUGACGGGGGCCCGCACAAGCGGUGGAGCAUGUGGUUUAAUUCGAAGCAACGCGAAGAACCUUACCAGGUCUUGACAUCCUCUGACAACCCUAGAGAU
This 634-nucleotide ribosomal RNA is filed under the name Bacillus sp. Ri1Ps_4625. RNAcentral describes it as "bacterial SSU rRNA". It matches the Rfam family "Bacterial small subunit ribosomal RNA", at positions 381 to 1007 of the family's 1533-position model. Lineage: Bacteria; Bacillati; Bacillota; Bacilli; Caryophanales; Bacillaceae. The record is from RNAcentral.